Molecule: ribosomal RNA, 253 nt
Filed under: uncultured bacterium
Lineage: Bacteria
Also listed under: 1 other name
Description: partial 16S ribosomal RNA
Rfam family: Bacterial small subunit ribosomal RNA
Source: RNAcentral
UACGUAGGGGGCUAGCGUUGUCCGGAAUCAUUGGGCGUAAAGAGCGCGUAGGCGGCCCGGUAAGUCCGCUGUAAAAGUCAAAGGCUCAACCUUUGAAUGUCAGUGGAUACUGCCGGGCUAGAGUCCGGAAGAGGCGAGUGGAAUUCCUGGUGUAGCGGUGGAAUGCGCAGAUAUCAGGAGGAACACCAACGGCGAAGGCAGCUCGCUAGGACGGUACUGACGCUGAGGCGCGAAAGCGUGGGGAGCGAACAGG